AGCUUUGCACAGUGGCAGUAUCAUAGUCAAUGAGGUUUAUCUGAGGCACGAUUAUAGCUAAUUGAAAACUUUUCCCAAUAUCCCGCUAUGACGACUUGCUACACAGUCAGCACUGGCAAUUUUUGACAGUCUCUACAGAGA
Aotus nancymaae (Ma's night monkey) is the source of this 141-nucleotide small nuclear RNA. Its record names the gene U4. It matches the Rfam family "U4 spliceosomal RNA". From Rfam's summary of the family: U4 small nuclear RNA (U4 snRNA) is a component of the major U2-dependent spliceosome. The structure of U4 snRNA from yeast and human has been reported. The record is from Ensembl. NCBI's taxonomy places the organism in Eukaryota, Metazoa, Chordata, Mammalia, Primates, Aotidae.